Molecule: transfer RNA, 72 nt
Filed under: Ornithorhynchus anatinus (platypus)
Lineage: Eukaryota; Metazoa; Chordata; Mammalia; Monotremata; Ornithorhynchidae
Rfam family: tRNA
About the family: Transfer RNA (tRNA) molecules are approximately 80 nucleotides in length. Their secondary structure includes four short double-helical elements and three loops (D, anti-codon, and T loops).
Source: Rfam by way of RNAcentral
AGCAGAGUGGCCUAGUUGGUAAAGCAGGGGCCGGGGAGCCAGACGACCUGGGUUCUAAUCCCGGCUCUACUG